GCAGUUGGCGGCAGGCCCUAACACAUGCAAGUCGAGCGGCAGCGGAAGUAGCUUGCUACUUUGCCGGCGAGCGGCGGACGGGUGAGUAAUGUCUGGGAAACUGCCUGAUGGAGGGGGAUAACUACUGGAAACGGUAGCUAAUACCGCAUAACGUCGCAAGACCAAAGAGGGGGACCUUCGGGCCUCUUGCCAUCAGAUGUGCCCAGAUGGGAUUAGCUAGUAGGUGGGGUAACGGCUCACCUAGGCGACGAUCCCUAGCUGGUCUGAGAGGAUGACCAGCCACACUGGAACUGAGACACGGUCCAGACUCCUACGGGAGGCAGCAGUGGGGAAUAUUGCACAAUGGGCGCAAGCCUGAUGCAGCCAUGCCGCGUGUAUGAAGAAGGCCUUCGGGUUGUAAAGUACUUUCAGCGGGGAGGAAGGUGUUGAGGUUAAUAACCUCAGCAAUUGACGUUACCCGCAGAAGAAGCACCGGCUAACUCCGUGCCAGCAGCCGCGGUAAUACGGAGGGUGCAAGCGUUAAUCGGAAUUACUGGGCGUAAAGCGCACGCAGGCGGUCUGUCAAGUCAGAUGUGAAAUCCCCGGGCUCAACCUGGGAACUGCAUUCGAAACUGGCAGGCUAGAGUCUUGUAGAGGGGGGUAGAAUUCCAGGUGUAGCGGUGAAAUGCGUAGAGAUCUGGAGGAAUACCGGUGGCGAAGGCGGCCCCCUGGACAAAGACUGACGCUCAGGUGCGAAAGCGUGGGGAGCAAACAGGAUUAGAUACCCUGGUAGUCCACGCCGUAAACGAUGUCGACUUGGAGGUUGUGCCCUUGAGGCGUGGCUUCCGGAGCUAACGCGUUAAGUCGACCGCCUGGGGAGUACGGCCGCAGGUUAAAACUCAAAUGAAUUGACGGGGGCCCGCACAAGCGGUGGAGCAUGUGGUUUAAUUCGAUGCACGCGAAGAACCUUACCUACUCUUGACAUCCAGAGAACUUUCCAGAGAUGGAUUGGUGUCUUCGAGAACUCUGAGACAGGUGCUGCAUGGCUGUCGUCAGCUCGUGUGUGACUGUAGGGUAAGUCCCGCACGAGCGCACUCUUUAUCUUUGGUGCCAGCGGUCAGCCGGACUCAAGGAACUGCAGUGAUACCUGGUAGAGGUGGGAUGACUCAGGUCUAUCAUGGCCUUACAGGAAUGCUACACACGUCUCACAUGGUCCGAAUACAAAGGGGAAU
Molecule: ribosomal RNA, 1211 nt
Filed under: Enterobacter asburiae
Lineage: Bacteria; Pseudomonadati; Pseudomonadota; Gammaproteobacteria; Enterobacterales; Enterobacteriaceae
Description: bacterial SSU rRNA
Rfam family: Bacterial small subunit ribosomal RNA
Source: RNAcentral